This 127-nucleotide microRNA precursor is filed under the name Myotis davidii. RNAcentral describes it as "mir-9193 microRNA precursor family". The record is from Rfam by way of RNAcentral. Lineage: Eukaryota; Metazoa; Chordata; Mammalia; Chiroptera; Vespertilionidae.
AGUGCACUGGUGGGGUCCCUCAGCCUGGCCUGUGGGGAUCAAGCCCAAACCGGCAGUCUGAUAUCCCCCAAGGAGUCCCAGAUUGUGAGAGGGCGCAGGCCAGGCUGAGGGACUCCACCAGUGCACA